CGAGAAAGAAUCAGUCAUCUCCAGAGGAGCGUUGCAGUUUGAACAGCGCCGAUCUUUGGCUUGCAGGUGGUGGCUCAGGUGAAUAACGGCGGCGGGGGAUUCAAUGUGUCCGUUCAGCCAAAGCAGUCCCUCUGUGAUGGUGUGUUCCACAGAAUAGCGGUAAUCCAGCGGAACAAUGUGGUAGAGAUGCACGUGGACACAGAGGGCAGGUAUACGAUCGGCCUGAGCUCGUCUUCCCCCACCAAGGACAGAUUUCCUGUUUAUAUCGUCAAAGGUUCUCAUUCCUCCCGGUUACCGAAUCCUAUGUUGGGUGUCUCCAAAACAUGGUCUUUAACAGGGACGUGGUGGUGUUUGACAAGCUCGCGGCGGUAUUCGGACCUGUAAACGUGCGAGAGUGUCCAGCUAACUUGACAGCGCCUUCUCCACAGUGAAGACAUUUCCACAGCUGUAGGAUUAGAAGAGUAAGCCCGGAAAUCAUGAGAAAUUAUAGCGUAAUACGUUUCCCAACUCCGUCCUGUAGUCCACUGUCUGAUAGCUUCGUCUUUCAUCGCCGUUAGAUACAAAAGUCACAUAAUUGCCAUAUAUUGAAAUAAAUGUGGACAGAGGUGAAGCAAAAACAAAACACGACCUCCAUGGGGCUUUCAAUUGGGUGAAUGUACUUAUUGACCUGAAGUGUAAUACUGCCUAUUUAUUUACUAGCUGGUCUCGUUUGCACACUAUUUAUACUGUACACACAAUAUUUAAGUCUUUUAUGAUAGCGGAAGUGAAACGUGAGGUGUCGUACUGUAACUUUGACCAUUGUGGGUAAUGUUUACCACCUGAUUUACAUUUCUACAAGCUGUAUUAUAUUUGGUGUAAAGACUUAUUAGGUAAGAUAAUGGACCAUUUUUUUUUUUUUUUGUAAUAUUGUUGGUGGUGCUUGAAACGUGUGAAGAAAUUAAAGUAACUUUUCUCACACAGGUCUGUUUUGUCUACUGUUUUCUUUGCAGGCCCUUUACUAUUUCCAAAAUUCAU
Ictalurus punctatus (channel catfish) is the source of this 1014-nucleotide long non-coding RNA. The record is from Ensembl. NCBI's taxonomy places the organism in Eukaryota, Metazoa, Chordata, Actinopteri, Siluriformes, Ictaluridae.